CCUACGGGUGGCAGCAGUGAGGAAUAUUGGUCAAUGGCCACAGGGCUGAACCAGCCAAGUCGCGUGAGGGAUGACGGUCCUAUGGAUUGUAAACCUCUUUUGUCAGGGAGCAAAGGGCGCCACGUGUGGCGCUUUGCGAGUACCUGAAGAAAAAGCAUCGGCUAACUCCGUGCCAGCAGCCGCGGUAAUACGGAGGAUGCGAGCGUUAUCCGGAUUUAUUGGGUUUAAAGGGUGCGAAGGCGGAAUGUCAAGUCAGCGGUAAAAUUUCGGGGCUCAACCACGUCGUGCAGUGGAAACUGGGGUUCUUGAGUGCGCCAGAGGUAGGGGGAAUUAGUGGUGGAGCGGGGAAAGGCUUAGAUAUCACGAAGAACUC
This 373-nucleotide ribosomal RNA is filed under the name uncultured bacterium. RNAcentral describes it as "partial 16S ribosomal RNA". It matches the Rfam family "Bacterial small subunit ribosomal RNA", at positions 338 to 709 of the family's 1533-position model. The record is from RNAcentral.